CCUACGGGAGUCAGCAGUAGGGAAUAUUGCUCAAUGGGGGAAACCCUGAAGCAGCAACGCCGCGUGGAGGAUGAAGGUUUUCGGAUUGUAAACUCCUUUUGUUAGAGAAGAUAAUGACGGUAUCUAACGAAUAAGCACCGGCUAACUCCGUGCCAGCAGCCGCGGUAAUACGGAGGGUGCAAGCGUUACUCGGAAUCACUGGGCGUAAAGAGCGCGUAGGCGGGAUAGCAAGUCAGAUGUGAAAUCCUAGGGCUUAACCAUAGAACUGCAUUUGAAACUGUUAUUCUAGAGUAUGGGAGAGGUAGGUGGAAUUCUUGGUGUAGGGGUAAAAUCCGUAGAGAUCAAGAGGAAUACUCAUUGCGAAGGCGACCUGCUAGAACAUAACUGACGCUGAUGCGCGAAAGCGUGGGGAGCAAACAGGAUUAGAUACCCCAGUAGUC
This 440-nucleotide ribosomal RNA is filed under the name uncultured bacterium. RNAcentral describes it as "partial 16S ribosomal RNA". It matches the Rfam family "Bacterial small subunit ribosomal RNA", at positions 338 to 795 of the family's 1533-position model. The record is from RNAcentral.